RNAcentral lists this long non-coding RNA (1220 nucleotides) under Microcebus murinus (gray mouse lemur). RNAcentral's name for it is "lncRNA (ENSMICG00000048189.1)". The stretch from base 78 to 229 matches the Rfam family "Metazoan signal recognition particle RNA". Lineage: Eukaryota; Metazoa; Chordata; Mammalia; Primates; Cheirogaleidae. The record is from RNAcentral.
GCCUGAGCGAGACCCCAUCUCUACUAAAAAUAGAAAGAAAUUAAUUGGCCAACUAAAAAUAUAUAUACAAAAAAUUAGCUGAGCAUGGUGGCUCAUGCCUGUAGUCCCAGCUACUCGGGAGGCUGAGGCAGGAGGAUCGCUUGAGCCCAGGAGUUUGAGUUUGCUGUGAGCUAUGCUGACGCCACAGCACUCACUCUAGCCUGGACAACAAAGUGAGACUCUGUCUCAAAAAAAAAAAGCACAAAACGAAAAUGCCUCUAGGCCCCUCGUCACUCCGCCUCUCCCCCUCCCCAAGUGUGCCAACUGGCCGCUACUCACCCUGGGGCCCCUACCUGUGUCCCUUUCUGUUACAGGGUGGAAGAGCCGUGGGUGGGCAGAGCCGGGGUGCUGGCCCUCCUAGAAGUCUGCAGCCAGGCCUCAGGCAACGUCACUGAAAUAAGCAUCUCUGAGACCGGGCAGCAGCUGCGCGUCCAGCUGGAAUUCCCUCGCCAGGAGAACCCGGAGGUGGUGGCCCUCAGGUUGGCUCACUGUGACCUUGGGACCCACCACAGCCUUCUCGUCAGGCAGCUGAUGGAGGCGUGUGCCAGGCUGCGGCAGCUCAGCUUGUCCCAGGUUAACCUCUGUGAUGACGGUGAUGCCAGCGUCCUGCUGCUGCAGAGCCUCCUGCCGUCCCUGUCUGAGCUGAAGACGUUCCGGUGGGCAGACGAGGCGCUCUCCCCGCCCCUUGCAGCCCGGCCCUUCCCCCGCCCGUCGGCCCCCAGCCCAAGGCUCGGAGGACCCUGGGUCCCGCCCUGUGGACAAGAACCACAGGUGGUUUUGAGGUGGUGUCAGGGGUGCACGGUGACAGGCACGACCUUAGCAACACUGAGCCACACGGCAAGAAACUUAUUCCCUUUUCAAUGCCCUUUCUUUGUUUUCUCUUGAAAUAAUUGCAAGCUAAUAAAAAAGCUGCAAGAAGGCUAAGANNNNNNNNNNNNNNNNNNNNNNNNNNNNNNNNNNNNNNNNNNNNNNNNNNCAGUCUGAAAUGUUCUGGAAUAUCCUUGGUCCUUUUCAGCUUGUCCCAGGUUAACCUCUGUGAUGACGGUGAUGCCAGCGUCCUGCUGCUGCAGACCCUCCUGCCGUCCCUGUCUGAGCUGAAGACGUUCCGGUGGGCAGACAAGGCGCUAUCCCCGGCCCCUUGCAGCCCUGCCCUUCCCCCACCCGUCGGCCCCCAGCCCAAG